This 322-nucleotide long non-coding RNA is filed under the name Elaeis guineensis (African oil palm). RNAcentral's name for it is "long non-coding RNA (EGUI_LNC026868)". Lineage: Eukaryota; Viridiplantae; Streptophyta; Magnoliopsida; Arecales; Arecaceae. The record is from RNAcentral.
CCUAAAUGAACAGCAAUAAUAUGUAUUAUUGUAGAUUUUCGAGAUUAGAUUGAGGCCGGUGGCCCAAAUUGAGCUGAGGUCCGUAUGGUUGCCAACGCUUAGAGUUGUAGGAUGGACCUGUAUAAGAGGUUCUCUUAUCGAAGUAUUUUUGGCAGGGGAUCUGAAUCUGAGAUUCAUAGAUUCAAUGGUUUAAGCCUAAAAGAAGAGAUGAGUUAUAGUACCAAUGGUCAAAAAAAAUUAUGAAAAAUAACGUAUCGAUUGAAUAUGGAGCCCAACUAAAUGGGCUUGAGCACUAAAUAGAUCAAUGAGUUCAUUACAAGUC